RNAcentral lists this long non-coding RNA (405 nucleotides) under Zostera marina. RNAcentral's name for it is "long non-coding RNA (ZMAR_LNC000196)". The record is from RNAcentral. Lineage: Eukaryota; Viridiplantae; Streptophyta; Magnoliopsida; Alismatales; Zosteraceae.
UUGUCUCUUUUGCGGAUUUUACCUUUGGAUCAUGUUUAGAAUCUUGUUUACUUUUUACAGAAUCAUGUUGGUGCUUAUCCUUAACAUGCUUAGAUUCAGGUUUGUCAUUCUUGCCUUUCAGCUCUAAUUCUUCUUUUGUCUUUUCACUUUCUUUUUUGUUUUGACUUGAUUUCUUCAAAUCAUUCUUUGAGCUUUCGUCAUCAAUCAGGCUUUGCGAAGUAUCAGGUUGAGAUAUACUAUCCUCUGUUUCAUUCUUUAUUUUUUGGUCACUAGGUUUAACAUCAGCUUCUUGUUUCUCAAUGUCAGCAGUUUUAACUUCAGUUUCCAAACAAUUUGACACAUCAAGACCUUCAUCUAAAACAGGGGUAAUUUCUUGCUGAUCUAUAUUCAUACUGGCCUCGGCAC